UACGUAGGCAGCAAGCGUUGUUCGGAAUUACUGGGCGUAAAGGGCUCGUAGGCGGCCAACUAAGUCAGACGUGAAAUCCCCAGGCUCAACCUGGGAACUGCGUCUGAUACUGGAUGGCUUGAAUCCGGGAGAGGGAUGCAGAAUUCCAGGUGUAGCGGUGAAAUGCGUAGAUAUCUGGAGGAAUACCGGUGGCGAAGGCGGCAUCCUGGACCGGCAUUGACGCUGAGGAGCGAAAGCCAGGGGAGCAAACGGG
This 253-nucleotide ribosomal RNA is filed under the name uncultured bacterium. RNAcentral's name for it is "partial 16S ribosomal RNA". It matches the Rfam family "Bacterial small subunit ribosomal RNA", at positions 524 to 776 of the family's 1533-position model. The record is from RNAcentral.